This 1017-nucleotide long non-coding RNA is filed under the name Sinocyclocheilus grahami. Its description in RNAcentral is "lncRNA (ENSSGRG00000011590.1)". Lineage: Eukaryota; Metazoa; Chordata; Actinopteri; Cypriniformes; Cyprinidae. The record is from RNAcentral.
GUCUGUCUGAAAUCCUGUGCUGACCAGCUGGCCCCCAUCUUCACACAGAUCUUCAACAGAUCACUGGAGCUGUGCGAAGUCCCUUCAUGCUUCAAACGCUCCACCAUCAUCCCCGUCCCAAAGAAACCCAAAAUUACUGGACUUAAUGACUACAGACCUGUGGCUCUAACGUCUGUGGUCAUGAAGUCUUUUGAAAGACUGGUGCUGGCCCACCUGAAGGACAUCACUGGACCCUUGCUGGAUCCUCUUCAGUUUGCCUACAGAGCAAACAGGUCUGUGGACGAUGCAGUAAACAUGGGACUGCAUUAUGUUCUGCAACAUCUAGACAGACCAGGGACUUAUGUGAGGAUCCUGUUCGUGGACUUCAGCUCGGCCUUUAACACCAUCAUCCCAAACCUCCUCCUGCCCAAACUAACUCAGCUCUCCGUGCCCACCUCCGUCUGUCAGUGGAUCAACAGCUUCCUGACAGACAGGCAGCAGCUAGUGAGGCUGGGAAAAUACACAUCCAGCACCCGUACGAUCAGCACUGGAGCUCCUCAGGGUUGUGUUCUCUCUCCACUGCUCUUCUCCCUGUACACCAACGACUGCACCUCUAAAGACCCCUCUGUCAAGCUCCUGAAGUUUGCAGACGACACCACACUCAUCGGCCUCAUUCAGGACGGUGACGAGUCUGCUUACAGACAGGAGGUCGAGCAGCUGGCUGUCUGGUGCAGUCUCAACAACCUGGCGCUCAACACGCUAAAAACUGUGGAGAUGACCGUGGACUUCAGGAGAAACCCCUCUGCACUCCCCCCACUCACCAUCAUGGACAGCACUGUGACUGCAGUGGAGUCAUUCAGGUUCCUGGGCACCACAAUCUCUCAGGACCUGAAGUGGGACACUCACAUUGACUCCAUUGUGAAAAAGGCCCAGCAGAGGUUGUACUUCCUUCGCCAGCUGAGGAAGUUCAACCUGCCACAGGAGCUGCUGAAACAGUUCUACUCCGCCAUUAUUGAAUCUGUCCUCUGCACUUCAAUA